This 226-nucleotide long non-coding RNA is filed under the name Carica papaya (papaya). RNAcentral's name for it is "long non-coding RNA (CPAP_LNC009145)". The record is from RNAcentral. Lineage: Eukaryota; Viridiplantae; Streptophyta; Magnoliopsida; Brassicales; Caricaceae.
AGUGAUUGCCUUCUACAUAAAGUAUGUAGUUAUAUCUCUCAAAUCAUGCUAGGAUUAUAAUAGGAAACUAUAUACCAAUACCUCAUAAAUAAUAUCCAUAAAAAUAUUGACCAUUGAAAAAUCUAAUUGUUUGAAUUUGGUUGGGCAAGUCACCUUUAUAAAGUCCCAACUCUCAUUCUUCCUAUUUAUAGUAUGUAGAAUGCCAGGAUUUCGAGUCCUAUUUGUG